GGCUGGUGUCGGGGUCUCCUGGGAUGGAGGUCAGAAUGGCGUUCAGCAGAGUGUGGCUUCUGAGGCCAAUCAAAGCCACUGAGGCUAAACUCUGCUGCCCGGACCGUGGGCCACUUGGAGGACCUUUCUGACCCAGCCCUUUG
Equus caballus (horse) is the source of this 143-nucleotide microRNA precursor. The record is from Ensembl. NCBI's taxonomy places the organism in Eukaryota, Metazoa, Chordata, Mammalia, Perissodactyla, Equidae.